This 396-nucleotide ribosomal RNA is filed under the name Triticum aestivum (bread wheat). Its description in RNAcentral is "partial small subunit ribosomal RNA". The record is from RNAcentral. Lineage: Eukaryota; Viridiplantae; Streptophyta; Magnoliopsida; Poales; Poaceae.
AUGGCUCCUACCGAGGCUGAGGAUGAUGUAGAGGAGGGAGAAGAGAAUAAGAAGAGGGAAAGGAAGGCAGCUGGAGCUGCUUUCACGUGGAUUCAAAAUAACUUUGCGACGUGCCCUCCGGAUGCAACUGAUGAUGUGAUCCAGACACAUGCUCGUGUGUAUAUGUGGUACAUUGUGUCGAGGACUUUGUUUCCUGACUCCACUGGCAAGAACGCUCCAUGGAUGUGGCUGAAGGCGUUGACCGUCUUCGAUAGCAAAUGGAGCUGGGGUUCAGCGACUCUUGCCUACUUGUACCGACAGGUAGUUGGUCUGUUUUGUGAUCAACUCAUUUAUUCAUUAGCAAUGCAAGCUUGCUGUCAAGUUAACAUUGUUUUUCUUUCAUAUGUAGCUGGAUGA